RNAcentral lists this ribosomal RNA (381 nucleotides) under Triticum aestivum (bread wheat). RNAcentral's name for it is "partial small subunit ribosomal RNA". The record is from RNAcentral. Lineage: Eukaryota; Viridiplantae; Streptophyta; Magnoliopsida; Poales; Poaceae.
AUGGUGCUCUCCACCGUCCUGCUCGCGGCAGGCAUCACGCUGAUGCUCGUCGUGCACAUCCUCGUGGUCCUCUGGGUGCUGAGGCGGGGCAUGACCGCCCGCGUCGCCGAGCACGCGGAAGAAGACGCAGGCCUUACUGCCGAAGAGCUCGGCGAGCUGCCAUGCCACGACUUCAAAGAAGGCGGCGCCGGCGAGUGCGCGGUGUGCCUGGAGGCCUUCAACGCCGGCGAACGUUGCAUGGUGCUGCCGCGGUGCGAGCACGGGUUCCACGCCGAGUGCGUCGGCUCGUGGCUGCGCAAGAGCCGCCUGUGCCCCAUCUGCCGCGCCGAGGUGGCCGGCGCAGUGGCCGCCGAGGUCGUCGUGGAGGUCGCUGCUGCCUGA